This 314-nucleotide ribosomal RNA is filed under the name Clostridioides difficile. RNAcentral describes it as "bacterial LSU rRNA". It matches the Rfam family "Bacterial large subunit ribosomal RNA", at positions 2121 to 2433 of the family's 2925-position model. The record is from RNAcentral. Lineage: Bacteria; Bacillati; Bacillota; Clostridia; Peptostreptococcales; Peptostreptococcaceae.
GUCUUGGUACUACAUGUACAGGAUAGGUGGGAGGCUUUGAAACCAGGACGCCAGUUUUGGCGGAGCCAUCCUUGGGAUACCACCCUUGUAGUACUGGGACUCUAACCAUAGGCCAUGAAUCUGGUCUUGGGACACUGUCAGGUGGGCAGGUUGACUGGGGCGGUCGCCUCCCAAAAGGUAACGGAGGCGCUCAAAGGUUCUCUCAGUACGGUCGGAAAUCGUACGUAGAGUGUAAAGGCAAAAGAGAGCUUGAUUGCAAGACAUACAGGUCGAGCAAGGAUGAAAAUCGGACUUAGUGAUCCGGUGGUUCUGCG